GCGGCAUGCUUAACACAUGUCAAGUCGAACGGAAACGACAGGAGCUUGCUCCUGGGCGUCGAGUGGCGGACGGGUGAGUAACGCGUGGGAAUCUACCCAGUAGUGGGGGAUAGCCAGGAGAAAUCCUGAUUAAUACCGCAUACGAUCUACGGAUGAAAGGUGGCCUCUGCUUGCAUGCUAUCGCUAUUGGAUGAGCCCGCGUAAGAUUAGCUAGUUGGUGGGGUAAGAGCCUACCAAGGCAACGAUCUUUAGCUGGUCUGAGAGGACGACCAGCCACAUCGGGACUGGGACACGGCCCGGACUCCUACGGGAGGCAGCAGUGGGGAAUAUUGGACAAUGGGCGCAAGCCUGAUCCAGCAAUGCCGCGUGUGAGAAGAAGGCCCGAGGGUUGUAAAGCACUUUCAAUUGUGAAGAAGGUAGUAAGCUUAAUACGCUUGCUGCUUGACGUUAACUUUAGAAGAAGCACCGGCUAACUCUGUGCCAGCAGCCGCGGUAAUACAGAGGGUGCGAGCGUUAAUCGGAAUUACUGGGCGUAAAGCGCGCGUAGGCGGCUAGAUAAGUCAGAUGUGAAAUCCCCGGGCUCAACCUGGGAACUGCCUCUGAUACUGUUUAGCUAGAGUUUUGGAGAGGGAAGUAGAAUUUCAGGUGUAGCGGUGAAAUGCAUAGAGAUCUGAAGGAAUACCAGUGGCGAAGGCGACUUCCUGGCCAAAAACUGACGCUGAGGUGCGAAAGCGUGGGUAGCAAACGGGAUUGGAUACCCCGGUAGUCCACGCCGUAAACGAUGUCUACUAGUCGUUGGACCCCUUGAGGGUUUAGUGACGCAGCUAACGCAUUAAGUAGACCGCCUGGGGAGUACGGUCGCAAGACUAAAACUCAAAGGAAUUGACGGGGGCCCACACAAGCGGUGGAGCAUGUGGUUUAAUUCGAUGCAACGCGAAGAACCUUACCAUCCCUUGACAUCCUCAGAACUUGUAAGAAAUUACUUGGUGCCUUCGGGAACUGAGUGACAGGUGCUGCACGGCUGUCGUCAGCUCGUGUCGUGAGAUGUUGGGUUAAGUC
This 1059-nucleotide ribosomal RNA is filed under the name uncultured Gammaproteobacteria bacterium. RNAcentral's name for it is "bacterial SSU rRNA". It matches the Rfam family "Bacterial small subunit ribosomal RNA", at positions 39 to 1086 of the family's 1533-position model. The record is from RNAcentral. Lineage: Bacteria; Pseudomonadati; Pseudomonadota; Gammaproteobacteria.